AGCUGCGCGGUGCACACAAAGCGAACUAUUCUUUCGCCUUUUACUAAAGAAUACCGUGUGUGCGCCGCAAAUAGCAGCAUACGCUAAUUUUUGGAGGGGAUUCUCCUUUUUGGAGGGC
Sorghum bicolor (sorghum) is the source of this 118-nucleotide non-coding RNA. The record is from Rfam. NCBI's taxonomy places the organism in Eukaryota, Viridiplantae, Streptophyta, Magnoliopsida, Poales, Poaceae.